UACGUAGGGGGCAAGCGUUGUCCGGAUUUAUUGGGCGUAAAGCGCCCGCAGGCGGUCGCGUCAGUUUGGGGUGACAGCUCCUGGCUUAACCGGGAGAGGACCUCGAAGACGGCGCGACUUGAGGGCCAGAGAGGGACAUGGAACUCCGGGUGGAGUGGUGAAAUGCGUAGAGAUCCGGAAGAACACCAAAGGCGAAGGCAGUGUCCUGGCUGGCACCUGACGCUCAGGGGCGAAAGCGAGGGGAGCGAACGGG
Molecule: ribosomal RNA, 253 nt
Filed under: uncultured bacterium
Lineage: Bacteria
Description: partial 16S ribosomal RNA
Rfam family: Bacterial small subunit ribosomal RNA
Source: RNAcentral